This 69-nucleotide transfer RNA is filed under the name Protonibea diacanthus. RNAcentral's name for it is "tRNA-Arg". It matches the Rfam family "tRNA". Rfam says of the family: Transfer RNA (tRNA) molecules are approximately 80 nucleotides in length. Their secondary structure includes four short double-helical elements and three loops (D, anti-codon, and T loops). The record is from RNAcentral. Lineage: Eukaryota; Metazoa; Chordata; Actinopteri; Sciaenidae.
AGGUAGUUAGUUUAAGCAAAACAUUUGAUUUCGGCUCAAAAACUCGUGGUUAAAGUCCACACUUACCUA